GGAGGAGUACCCAAGUGGCUGAAGGGGACGGUUUGCUAAAUCGUUAGUGGGGCGAAAGUUCCAGCGAGGGUUCGAAUCCCUCCUCCUCCGCCA
Molecule: transfer RNA, 93 nt
Filed under: Patescibacteria group bacterium
Lineage: Bacteria
Also listed under: 1 other name
Description: tRNA-Ser
Rfam family: tRNA
About the family: Transfer RNA (tRNA) molecules are approximately 80 nucleotides in length. Their secondary structure includes four short double-helical elements and three loops (D, anti-codon, and T loops).
Source: RNAcentral